RNAcentral lists this transfer RNA (60 nucleotides) under Ixalotriton niger (black jumping salamander). RNAcentral describes it as "tRNA-Gln". Lineage: Eukaryota; Metazoa; Chordata; Amphibia; Caudata; Plethodontidae. The record is from RNAcentral.
UGGGGUGCACUUAGAGUUUUGGUCUCUAGAGGGUAGGUUCGAGUCCUGUUUUUUUAGGAG